ACGCGUCAUGUGGUGUAGAGGUUGGGUGAGAAAGGGACGUGUUUCAUUAUCAAGCAGGUACAAUACCCGCAAGGCUUAGAAGGUGAGGGUGAGAAAAAAAUUUGUAUAAAAGGAGAGAGAAAAGGAUACAGACAUCAGUUGGGUGAGCAUCACCGACACGGCAACAACUCCUGUGGACUGCCUGUACCAACUGGCUUCUUCAUCACAUUACCAGCUCGCAACAUUUGCCAGUUAUUACACCACCAAGGUUCCAGGGAAUACCAUCACAGCUUGUGAUUUCCAGAGCCACUACACCGAUGCCGUGAAUUGUAGAUUAUAGACAUCUUAUCCUUCAGUUGCUGCAAGCAACCCAUCCUCAUCAGCGACGUCAACCUGCAGAAGGAUAGGCCAGUUUGCUUCGAAGGUCACGAAAAUCAUUACGUAAAACGUGUCGUGUGGUGUAGAGGUUGGGUGAGAAAGGGAUCUGUUGCAUCUUUAUCAAGCAGGUACAAUACCCGCAAGGCUUAAGAGGUGAGGGUGAGAAAAAAAUUCGUAUAAAAGGAGAGAGAAAAGGAUACAGACAUCAGUUGGGUGAGCAUCACCGACACGGCAACAACUCCUGUGGACUGCCUGUACCAACUGGCUUCUUCAUCGCAUUACCAGCUCGCAACAAUUGUUCGCAGUUAUGGUCAACUAUGAUGUCGUGCUGCUGUCGGAUGUUGUAUCGUUGAUGGCUGGGUCGACCACUAGUUUGCCAAUGUCUUUUGGGCACGGACACCAAACCGCAAUGCCGGCGCCCUACUACACAACAACAGCAUACGCUUCAGCCGGUUAUUACACCAUCAAGGCUCCAGGGAACUACACCACAACUUAUGAUGUCCAGAGCUACUACACCGACGUCCUGAAUUAUAGUUAUCCUUCAGUUGCUGCAAGCAUGUUGUUCUGCUGCUGCUGGGUGUUGUAUUUAGCUGAUGGGCCAGGAUUCAGACCCAAAACCUAAAAGUAGAGAAGGAAGGUGAUAGAUCAGUUGAGUGAGCAUCUCCGAUCCGGCAACAGUUGCAGCUGCACUCUUCCAAUUCUCAAUUAUAGGGCUUUGUGCUGCUGUUGAAUGUUGUAUCGUUGCUGGCUGAGUCGACCACUGGUGUACCGAUGUUCCCUGGGUAUGGCGGAUACCAAGCCGCAACGCUGUUGUCUUACUACACAACAACAUAGGUGACGACCUGUUACUACACCGGGACUUCCAAUGACUACACCGAAAAGGCUGAAUAUUACACAAGGACGUAUGCUACUCCAGUUUACUACACCGAGGAACCUAAGCAUUACUUUGCUCCGAGCUACAACAGAGGCUCCUGUUAAGUACACCACCAACGCAUCUGAAUGUUAUAGAUAAUCUACGCUGCCCUCAACUACUACACUGAAGCUUCGAAGUGCUACACCAUCAAUAUACAAUCAAUAAGCAACGUUAUUUGGUGACGUGCUGAUGUUUAACUUUUUAUUUUUGAUGCAUAUGACCGUUGGUGUAGUGAUGUUUCCUGGGUAUGGCGGCUGGCGGGUAUUAAACCGCAACGCUUCUGUCUUAUUACUCAACAACAUACGUAACGAACUGUUACUACACCGGGACUUCCAACUACUACAACGAAACAGCAGAAUAUUACACAACUACGUGUACUACCCCAGUUUACUACACCGAGGAACCUAAGCUUUUUACAAGUUAAUAACUCUGCUCCGAGCUACUACCAUACACUCUCAACGCCCACGAGUGUUACAAUACAACCUACGCUGCCCCCAACUACUACAAUGAUGCUCCGAAAUAUUACACCAUCAAGGCACAACCAAUUCGCAAUCUUGGAUUACUAAGGUGUUGUGCUGCUGUUGGGUGUUGUAUUGUUGAUGGCUGGUCGACCACGAGUGUACCGAUGUCUCCUGGGUAUGGUGGUUUUCAAGCACUAGCAGCAAUAGAAGAGUACACCACAAUGCUGCCUUACUACUUAAAAACGAUAACGUAUGCAACACCUACUUACAACACUGAUGCUCGUAAAUACUGCACCUCCAAGGCUCCAAGAAUACUACACGAAUAUCUACGCUGCUCCGAGGUACUGCACGGAAGUAUCAGACCCCGACUAACAUCAACAAGACGUCUGAGUACUACACUGAGGAUCUUAAAUAGUACACCACCAAAGGUACUACACCGAGGCUGCAGUUUAUUAAACUACCAAAUCGGUCGAGUACCGAGUACCAAGUACUACCCCUUAACCAACAACAACUGCCAUAAUCGGAUGAAAUGUUCGCAAUCAUGGGAUGGCAUCGUUGGAAGCUGGGUAGAUUAUUGGUGUACUGAGGGUCCUGGAUAUGGCGUUGUAUCACCCACGGCAAAGUGCAUCACGUAAACUACAUCAAGAUUUUUAGGUACUACACCAUCAAGGCACCGGCACCGGAAUACUACACUACGCAAACUGCCCCUGCCUACUAAACCGUGGACCUUAAUUACAACAACAACCGGCGACAAUUGCACUCUUCCAAUUCUCAAUGAAAGUUAACUAUGGUUUCGUGCUGCUGUUAAGUGUUGUAUCGUUGAUGGUUGAGUGGACCACUGGUGUAUCGAUGUUGCCUGUGUAUGGCGGAUAUUAAACCGCAACACCACUGUCUUGCUACACAACAAAAUACGUAAAGACCAGUUGCUACUCUGGGCUUAUCUAUUGCUGAACCGAAAUGGCCGAAAAUUACACAUCCACGUAUGCUACCUCAGUUUACUACACCGAGGAAUUCAAGUGCUACUGUGCUCCGAGAAACGACAGAGCUGUUUACUACACCACCAACGCCACAGAAUGUUAAACUACAACCUACGCUGCCCACAACUUCACUGAAGCUCCGAAGUACUACACCAUCAAGGCACAACCAAUUCGCAAUCAAGGGUGAAUAUGCUUU
Molecule: long non-coding RNA, 2904 nt
Organism: Daphnia pulex (common water flea)
Lineage: Eukaryota; Metazoa; Arthropoda; Branchiopoda; Diplostraca; Daphniidae
Exons: 12
Source: RefSeq, a predicted model, not a curated record